Molecule: long non-coding RNA, 1513 nt
Organism: Vicia villosa (hairy vetch)
Lineage: Eukaryota; Viridiplantae; Streptophyta; Magnoliopsida; Fabales; Fabaceae
Exons: 5
Source: RefSeq, a predicted model, not a curated record
GGUAGCCUCUCAAAAGGUAGAAAACGCAGAAGCAUCUUUUUGGCAAAACCCUAGCUCUGACGUACCUUUCUCCUUCUUUCUCCGUCUCCGUCCGCUACUCCAAACGAAGAAAGGAAACUGUUUUUGGAUUUCCCAUCCCUCGACCUUUCUAUUGAACCAAUGAAGUUUCUCUCCUCUGAAACACUACCGCCGUCGCUGGCGCCUUUUCAACUCGAUCGAAUCUCGUAACCCUAGCUUUUUCAACUCAAGUAAAUUCAUCUUUCAACUCGGUUUGACGUUUUUUAUUUUUAUAUCUAUUAUAGAGCUCAGUUAGUUGGUGAGUUAAUUCAAUUGGUAGAGUUUUUACUGAUUUUUACAUUGAUUAUAAACUUGGGUGAUUUUUGUAAACAAAUUGUUUGUUGAAAUGCCACAAUGAGUUUAUUAGGUUGAUUCUGAGUUGGGGCUUGAAUGUUAAUCUUCUAUCAUGGUGGAUGUUUUAUGGACGGUUAGUGUUUAUCUAUGCCUUUCCAAAGUUAAGUUAACCGACGAAGGGCUGAAGCUGUUGUUGCAGAAAUGCUUAUCCCUUCAAAGUUUGAAUCUCUAUGCAAUGUCUAGUUUCACAGCUCAUGUUUUUGGAUCUCUGUGGUGCCCAGAAUCUUUCAGAUGAAGGACUUGAAUGUAUUUCGAAAUGCAAGAACCUUGUAUCCCUCAAUCUGACUUGGUGUGUACGUGUGACCGAUGAGGGAGUUAUAGUUGUUGCUCAGAGUUGCACCUCUCUUGAAUUUCUAAGGUAUUAUCAUAUUUUGAGAAGUUUAUAGCACUUGGAUAAUUGUUAUCCUAGAAUCACUUAUUGGAUUGCCAUAUUUGCAGCUUAUUCGGAUUGAGCUUUGUUUCUGGUUUGUGGUUUGAGCUUUGUUUCUGCAGGGAACAUUAAGGCUGAGAUAGUUAAGUUUCAUUAAAACUAUAUAUGAAAACUAGAAUGAAAGUGUUAUCAAGAACACAAUGCUGUUUGUGAUGCUCUCAAGGGAUUUCUCGCCGAAGGGUUGCAGAAGACUUCAGCUGGUUUGGGCAGUGUAUGCUUGCACUUAAUUUCUUAGUCAAUUUUACAAAAUCUAGUACUGAAACUAUUGUACAAUUAAUCUAAUGAAGGUUUAAGAACAAUAGCAAUAGCCAGCUCAUUCACAAGUAAUAACACAGUGGCUUCUAGUUCUUCCUAAAUCUUACAGUAGAUCCUACAUUUAAAAUAAUUUGGUUCUUUAAAAUAAUUUGGCCAAUAGAGAUGUCAAGUUUUAGCCUGCAAUAUAUUUUUGGUAAAUUUGUAUUUCUUUUCAUUUAAAAAGUUGGAUAACUUUACUCUAGUGAGUUGUUUUAAGCAUAAUUAUAUAUGUGAAAUUUAUUUCCCAUUUCACUUAAAUUGAUUAAUUUAAUUUAUUUCCCAGAGAGAAGAUGAACUCUUAUGAUGAAGCUAGUGGCAGACUUUGUUUCACAUUAAAUUAUUGCAUAGGAAAAUUUCAGUGUCAAUUUAUCAAAAAAA